RNAcentral lists this ribosomal RNA (791 nucleotides) under uncultured archaeon. Its description in RNAcentral is "bacterial SSU rRNA". It matches the Rfam family "Archaeal small subunit ribosomal RNA", at positions 85 to 879 of the family's 1478-position model. The record is from RNAcentral.
ACUGCUCAGUAACACGUGGGUAACAUGCCCUAAGGUGGGGGAUAAUCUCGGGAAACUGAGGAUAAUACCCCAUAGGUCUGAUGUGCUGGAAUGCUUUCAGGCCGAAAACUCCGGUGCCUUAGGAUUGGCCUGCGGUCUAUCAGGCUGUAGUGGGUGUAAUGGACCCACUAGCCCGUGACGGAUAUGGGCCUUGAGAGAGGGAGCCCAGAGAUGGACUCUGAGACAUGAGUCCAGGCCCUACGGGGCGCAGCAGUCGCGAAAACUUCGCAAUGGGGGCAACCCCGACGAGGGAAUUCCAAGUGCCAGCACUUUGUGUUGGCUGUUCUCCUGUCUAAAAAACAGGAGGAGUAAGGGGCGGGUAAGACGGGUGCCAGCCGCCGCGGUAAUACCCGCGCCCCUAGUGGUGGCCGAUAUUAUUGAGCCUAAAACGUCCGUAGCCGGUCUUCUAAAUCCUUGGGUAAAUCGGGCAGCUUAACUGUCCGAAGUCCGGGGAGACUGGGAGACUUGGGACCGGGAGAGGUCAGAGGUACUUCUGGGGUAGGGGUAAAAUCCUGUAAUCCUGGAAGGACCACCGGUGGCGAAGGCGUCUGACUAGAACGGAUCCGACGGUGAGGGACGAAGCCCUGGGGCGCAACGGGAUUAGAUACCCCGGUAGUCCAGGGUGUAAACGCUGCGGGCUUGGUGUUGGGGGUCCUUAGUGGGCGCCCAGUGCCGGAGAGAAGUUGUUAAGCCUGCUGCUUGGGGGAGUAUGUCCGCAAGGAUGAAACUUAAAGGAAUUGGCGGGGGAGCAC